This 627-nucleotide ribosomal RNA is filed under the name uncultured archaeon. Its description in RNAcentral is "bacterial SSU rRNA". It matches the Rfam family "Archaeal small subunit ribosomal RNA", at positions 1 to 637 of the family's 1478-position model. The record is from RNAcentral.
UUCCGGUUGAUCCUGCCGGAAGCUACUGCUAUCGGAAUUCGAUUAAGCCAUGCGAGUCGAGAGGGUUCGGCCCUCGGCUGACGGCUCAGUAACACGUGGAUAACCUGCCCUCAGGUAGGGGAUAAUCUCGGGAAACUGAGGAUAAUACCCUAUAAGCAUCCUCUGCUGGAAUGCUUGGAUGUUCAAAGGCAACGCCUGAGGAUGGGUCUGCGGCCUAUCAGGUUGUAGUGGGUGUAACGGACCCACUAGCCCGCGACGGGUACGGGCCUUGAAAGAGGUAGCCCGGAGAUGGACUCUGAGACACGAGUCCAGGCCCUACGGGGCGCAGCAGGCGCGAAAACUUCGCAAUGCGGGAAACCGUGACGAGGGAAUUCCGAGUGCUCAUACAAUGUAUGGGCUUUUCUUAUGUGUAAAAAGCAUGAGGAAUAAGGGCUGGGUAAGACCGGUGCCAGCCGCCGCGGUAAUACCGGCAGCUCGAGUGGUAGCCACUUUUAUUGGGCCUAAAGCGUCCGUAGCCGGUCAGGUAAAUCCUUGGGUAAAUCGUACAGCUUAACUGUGCGGCUUCCGGGGAGACUGCUUGACUUGGGACCGGGAGAGGUUGGAGGUACUCCUGGGGUAGGGGUGAAA